This 295-nucleotide unclassified non-coding RNA is filed under the name plant metagenome. RNAcentral's name for it is "partial contains small subunit ribosomal RNA, internal transcribed spacer 1, and 5.8S ribosomal RNA". The record is from RNAcentral.
UUUCCGUAGGUGAACCUGCGGAAGGAUCAUUAUUGAAUAAACUUGGUUGGGUAGUUGCUGGCUCCUCGGAGCAUGUGCACGCUCGCUCCAUUUUUAACCACCUGUGCACCUUGUGUAGAUCUGAACAACUCUCGGGGAAACUCGGUCAGAGGAUUGCUGUGUGUAAAAGCCAGCUUUUCUUGGGUUCAGAUCUAUGUCUCUAUAUACACCAUAAGAAUGUAUUGGAAUGUAAUUGACAGGCGUUACAGCCCUUAAAAAUCAAAUACAACUUUCAACAACGGAUCUCUUGGCUCUC